GAUUACUGGGACGUGAGAGAAGACUUCCUGAGCAUGAGAGGAUGGGCAGCCCUGAAGCAGGCAAAGGAAAAGUGGCACGGCAGGAAGCAAGUCAGAUGAGGGGGCCUGGUUUGUGCGAGAACAUGACAAACCAGUGUUCCUGAAGCCUAAAGGGAAGGUGAGACAAGGCAGAGGAGGCUGGCGGGGCCAGGUCACGGAGUCUCCUGUGCCACACUGAGAGUCUGGGCUUGAGCUUGUGGAGAGCCCAAGGAUGAAAACAGAGAAGUAAUUAAUGGCAGCUUUCCUGGGCCAGAAGAAUAAAUAAGGAAUUAUCUUACAAACAGCAACCAUGAAAUUAGAAGUUUGGUAAAACAUGUUGCAGAAGAACCAGGAAACACAUUGCAAUUGAGCCUGCUGGGUGCUGCUGCAAGUUUGGGGGUGAACAGGAGAAUCAGGUUCUUAUAGGGGUGAAGUCUGCAAAGUAGGAUGUUUUCCUAAUUUGAAUGCAAUGACUGAAGUGGAAAAUGGUCAAAACUGGGCAGAGUGGCUCACACCUACAAUCCCCUAGGAGGGAAGGACAAAGGCAUCCAUAUCACCUCGCCACAGUGGUUGUGGUGGAAGCUGUAGCACUGAAGAGAUGCAGCCCCAUGGAAGAUGCUGCCAAGAGAGGGAGACAGAGCUACGUCUGGUGUCUCCCUUCCUCCUUACCUGGUGCCUCCCUCCUCCUGUCCUCCUGUCUCCCUUCAGAUGAAGGAACUGAUGCUGAGACUUGCACUCUACCAUAGGCGGAAGCACCCACCACCCUGUUCCCAGCCCUGGAAGGGCAAGGAAUGAAUCUGAGGCAAAUAGGGCCAGCACUGGCAGUCUGCUCGAUUUUCCCUCAGAGCAUUUAUCUUCCUUGACAUAUUUACAAUUUUUUGUCUAUUUUUGGUUUCUCUAACUUGACUAGAAUGUAAGAUCCACAAGGCUUGGGCUUUGCUCUUUUGUUCACUAUGUCCAUAGCUCCUGUAACAGUGCCUAAAACAUAGUAGGCAAUCAAUAGAUAUUCUUUGGAUAAACAAAUAUGCCUCAACAUUGAGUCUAACUUACAGCAGACAUUGAAUAAAUAUCUAUUGAAUGAA
Long non-coding RNA from Homo sapiens (human), 1100 nucleotides. The record is from Ensembl. Lineage: Eukaryota; Metazoa; Chordata; Mammalia; Primates; Hominidae.